ACACCGUUGGUGAAGUGGUUAUCAUGCUUGCCUUCCAUCAUAGUUCACUGGUUUUCUAGCUGGAGUUAUGCAGCAAGCGGCUCGGGUUCGAUUCCCGAACGGUGUA
This is a non-coding RNA of Marasmius sp. AFHP31, 106 nucleotides long. NCBI's taxonomy places the organism in Eukaryota, Fungi, Basidiomycota, Agaricomycetes, Agaricales, Marasmiaceae. The record is from the annotation of a GenBank genome assembly.